UUUUGCACUCCGAGUUGUUGUUGCCAUUCUCAUUUUACACGCAUAAGGGAGUGUAACAUCAUUAAAACAUCGCCUCAAUGCAGUUCCUCUAGAGAAGAUUGUGUUAUAAUUGUCAAUCCUCAGUCUGGUAUGGUACUUGAUGCAUCCUGCUAUGAAGUGAAACUAAAGUGUUAUACAGGGUGUUCGUCGCAACUUUGGUAUUUAGAAUGUUCACAAAAUGGCAACUUUUUCAUUGUCAACGUGGGAAAUGAGAAAGUCCUGGAUAUCCAAGGUGGUGUCAAAAGUUCCGCCAAUUUGAUAACUUAUGAAAAACAUGGUGGCGAUAAUCAACAAUGGCUUAUCGAUCAUUGUGACAACACCAUCUCCAAUCCAUGCGAUGAUUUGGUUGUUGACGUAUUCGAGCAACGCUUUUGUUGUGGAACGAAUGUGAUUGCUUACACAAAACAUGGAGGACCCAAUCAAAAGUUUUGUCUUCAGUAUGUUUGACCUAAAAUGGUAAAAAACAACAAUCAAGCUGUGUAAUUGGCGACUCCACAUUUUGUCUGCCUUACAUAUCUAUAUUGUACUUUCAUUACUUUUCUAUUAAAACAGAAAACAAG
Molecule: long non-coding RNA, 599 nt
Organism: Zophobas morio
Lineage: Eukaryota; Metazoa; Arthropoda; Insecta; Coleoptera; Tenebrionidae
Exons: 2
Source: RefSeq, a predicted model, not a curated record